UACGUAGGUGGCAAGCGUUGUCCGGAUUUAUUGGGUUUAAAGGGUGCGUAGGCGGUCCUAUAAGUCAGUUGUGAAAUCCGGCAGCUUAACUGUCGAGGUGCAAUUGAUACUGCAGGACUUGAGUACAGACGAGGUAGGCGGAAUUGACGGUGUAGCGGUGAAAUGCUUAGAUAUCGGCAAGAACACCGAUAGCGAAGGCAGCUUACUGGGCUGUAACUGACGCUGAGGCACGAAAGUGUGGGGAGCAAACAGG
RNAcentral lists this ribosomal RNA (253 nucleotides) under uncultured bacterium. RNAcentral's name for it is "partial 16S ribosomal RNA". It matches the Rfam family "Bacterial small subunit ribosomal RNA", at positions 524 to 776 of the family's 1533-position model. The record is from RNAcentral.